RNAcentral lists this ribosomal RNA (513 nucleotides) under Triticum aestivum (bread wheat). RNAcentral describes it as "partial small subunit ribosomal RNA". Lineage: Eukaryota; Viridiplantae; Streptophyta; Magnoliopsida; Poales; Poaceae. The record is from RNAcentral.
AUGAAGAAGGUGCGGGCGAGGCCGCGGCGGAUCCCGGCGUUCGGGGAGUGGAACUACUACGACGACGGUGGGUACGGGUACGGCGACGGCGACGGCGCCGGGGACUGGCCGGUCACCCAGUGCUUGGACUCCGCCAUGCAGGCCGGCCUGUUCGUCUCACUGCCGACUUCACCGAAGCCACUCAAAAAGGUGGUGAAGUGGAGCGACAGCGGCACGCUGGAGGUGGACGGGGAGCAGAGGCAGAAGGUGGUGGUGGGGCUGCGCGAAGAGCACGGGCCGAAGAAGGAGGGGAGGGGGAAGCCCAUAGAAAUUUACCUGAAGGUCCCUCACGCCGCCGACGGCCACCUGAGCACCACCGCAGGCUACAACAAAGGUCACAGGGUGCGGGCGGUCAAGGCCGUGGACGAGGACCUCUACGUGAUCCCGCCGGACAUGCUCUGCCACAAUAAUAACCCACGCAAGAGGCUGACGAAAAGGCUGUGGAUCGGGUGCCUGGGCUGCGUCUCCGCCUAG